This 355-nucleotide ribosomal RNA is filed under the name Diversispora eburnea. The record is from RNAcentral. Lineage: Eukaryota; Fungi; Glomeromycota; Glomeromycetes; Diversisporales; Diversisporaceae.
CAGUCAUGCUAGUGAAAAAUCAGUUUGACGGGUUUCGAGUUCUUGAGUAGAGGCAGGGUCAAACCGGUUCUCUUUUGAACUUGGAAUUUGUCAGAUGCACUUUUUCUUUGGCAGGUCAGCGUCGAUUUCGGAGGUUGUAAAAUACUUGGGGAAAAGUAGCUCUGCUUUGGGAGAGUGUUAUAGACCUUGGGUGAUGCGGCCUGCGGGAUCGAGGAUUGCAGCAAAUGCCUUUGGCUUGUCGCCUGAUCUCUGGAUGUUACCUCGCUUGUGACGACAUUCUUGCCACCUGUGGGUACUAAUGCCCAUUAGGUUAGAGCGAUACAAAAAUUUUGACUUAAGGAUGCUGACGUAAUGG